CCCUUAGAUAUCCUAGGCUGCACGCGAGCUACAAUGGUAUAUAUAAAAGGUUGCUGCUCUGAGAAGACUGGCAAUACCCUGAUAUAUAUCGUAUUUGGAAUAGAUUUUUGUAAUUAUCAAUCUUGAACGAGGAAUUCCUAGUAAAAAUAUUUCAUCAUAAUGUUUUGAUUGUGUCCCUGCCCUUUGUACACACCGCCCGUCGCUCCUACCGAUUGAAUAUUCCGGUGAGAAGAUGGGAGAAAAAUCUUUUGAUUUUUUGAAUAUUUUUGAACCUUGAUAUUUAGAGGAAGGAGAAGUCGUANCA
This 304-nucleotide ribosomal RNA is filed under the name uncultured eukaryote. Its description in RNAcentral is "partial 18S ribosomal RNA". It matches the Rfam family "Eukaryotic small subunit ribosomal RNA", at positions 1470 to 1796 of the family's 1831-position model. The record is from RNAcentral.